This 269-nucleotide ribosomal RNA is filed under the name uncultured prokaryote. Its description in RNAcentral is "partial 16S ribosomal RNA". It matches the Rfam family "Bacterial small subunit ribosomal RNA", at positions 524 to 792 of the family's 1533-position model. The record is from RNAcentral.
UACGUAGGUGGCGAGCGUUGUCCGGAUUUACUGGGCGUAAAGGGAGCGUAGGCGGACUUUUAAGUGAGAUGUGAAAUACCCGGGCUCAACUUGGGUGCUGCAUUUCAAACUGGAAGUCUAGAGUGCAGGAGAUGAGAAUGGAAUUCCUAGUGUAGCGGUGAAAUGCGUAGAGAUUAGGAAGAACACCAGUGGCGAAGGCGAUUCUCUGGACUGUAACUGACGCUGAGGCUCGAAAGCGUGGGGAGCAAACAGGAUUAGAUACCCCGGUA